GGGCCGAGGCCGCGGCAGCUGGACACUGACCCGGAGGACCGCGGCUGGCAGGAGCGAGCGUGGAGCGCGGGAGGUGGGAACAGACGGGACUGACCUUGCUCACGAAAGCGAGAGGUCUCCACCUUUGAGGGUCUCACUUGUUUCAGCGGCUGAAGCAGCGGCCGGUAAAGCAGAGCCCGUCUUGACCGUGAAGUUUCACCGGCACGUGACCACGGCCACUCAUUCCCGCAAGAUCCAGGGCUGUUUGGGGCUGCGACGGCGGACUUGAGCCCUUACGACACACGCGGUCUGGCCUUUGGAGACCAGGGCCCUGUGGGACGGCACGUGUGCCUGGGAUGUCCUGCCGGGGCGCGCUGCCCCUCCUGACACCGGUGAGUGCCGGAGGCGGGGUGGGGGCACACAAAUGCCUUAAAAACAAUCUUCUCUGGGGGUGCCGCGUGGCUCAGUGUGUUGAGCAUCCGGCUUUUGUUCUCGGCUCAGGUCGUGAACUCGGUGAGAUCGAGCCCCGCGUCGGGCUCCACACUGAGUAUGGAGCCUGCUUGGGAUUCGCUCUCUCCCGCUCUCUGCCCCUCCCCUGCUUGUGCUCCCUU
Long non-coding RNA from Neofelis nebulosa (Clouded leopard), 590 nucleotides. RefSeq lists it as uncharacterized. The record is from RefSeq and is a predicted model, not a curated record. The transcript is spliced from 3 exons. NCBI's taxonomy places the organism in Eukaryota, Metazoa, Chordata, Mammalia, Carnivora, Felidae.